Molecule: unclassified non-coding RNA, 2204 nt
Filed under: Trichoderma koningiopsis
Lineage: Eukaryota; Fungi; Ascomycota; Sordariomycetes; Hypocreales; Hypocreaceae
Description: partial contains 28S ribosomal RNA, 28S-18S ribosomal RNA intergenic spacer, and 18S ribosomal RNA
Rfam family: Eukaryotic large subunit ribosomal RNA (bases 1-228)
Source: RNAcentral
GCACCCGCACGUAUAGACGGACAAGAAUAGGCUUCGGCUUAGUGUCUCAGCAGGCGAUUCCUCCGUGGUCCUCGAAGCGGGCCGCGGUAUUUCGCGUAUUGUAAUUUCAACACGAGCGGGGUUAAAUCCUUUGCAGACGACUUAGCUGUGCGAAACGGUCCUGUAAGCAGUAGAGUAGCCUUGUUGUUACGAUCUGCUGAGGGUAAGCCGUACUUCGCCUCGAUUUCCCCAACACAUCCUCCCUCGGGGGGGCGCGUAGGGGUUCUCUGGUGCGUUUUGGUUUUGGUCGGUUGCGAUCUUUCGACCUUCCCUCCGCGGGGAGGUGUAGGGUAGGUCGGUCCCGGGCUCCAGGGUAGGCGUCUCUCCCCUCGCCGGCCUUGGGCGUUCGUCUGCCUCUCUCUCCGGAGGUCUGGGUUCGCCCUCGCCCGCGGGCUCCAGGGUAGCUCCAGGGUAGGCGCCCCCCAGCGCGUUCGUCCGUGAGUCGAUUUGGCCGUUUUCCCAUACAGAUUAUUUUUGCGGAAAAUGCGAAUUGGACCGCGAGCCCAAGCCAGGCAGGCCAGGUCGCCCGCCCGUUCGCAGCCCCCUCGAGGGGCCCGGCCGGGGUCCAGGGCGAGCUCCAGGGUAGGCGGGGGGCGGGGGGUUUUUGGGAGACCUGGGGGCCUUGGGGCGCGCGGGGGGAGGGAGGGAGAGAGGGAGGGCGAGGGGGAAAAAACGGCCAAGUCCGGCGGGCGAGCCUACCCGGGAGCCGCGGCGGUGCGGGCCUUCCUGCUCCAGGGUAGGUACAGGGUAGGCGGGCAAGGGGCAGGCCGCUCCAGGGUAGGUACAGGGUAGCUCUGAGGGUCUAGGGUAGCUCCAGGGUAGGCGGGCGCCUCAUAUAUACGGGUGCGCGGCUCCAGGGUAGCUCCAGGGUAGGCCCCUCGCGCACGUAUGCGUAGAUAUGUAGAUAUCUCGCUCCAGGGUAGCACUCCAGGUAGGCAUUAUCUGCUUAUUAGCUCUAGGGUAGGCGCUUUGUACGGGGAAAAAAGGCUGGAAAGCCGGGAAAAACAGAAAAGUUCGAAAAAAGAAAAUCGAAAACAAAAGUUAAGACGAAGACCUGUCCGCCACUUGCAGCGAGGGGAGCCGGAAGGGCACCGUCUGUGUCUAUGGUUUUGUGCCCGGGUCCCAGGGUAGGCCGCCCUCCACGCAUAUCCGUCCACCCAAAUGCCCACACGCGCCGCCGGGCAGCUCCAGGGUAGCACUCCGGGGUAGGCGGCUCCGGCGUAGGUCGUCCCCAGCCUGUACGGGCGUUAUAUGGGCACUUCGCCCCGGGGCGGCUCCAGGGUAGCGCUACAGGGUAGCACCUUUCGGGGCCUUAUACGGGCAUUUAUAUGGGCAUUUCGCUCUAGGGUAGGCUAUAUUCGGCCCGGGCUAGGUGCUAAUAGCUACAGGGUAGGCGUUUCCCUCGAAAAAGGCCAAGUUCGGAAAAUCUGGCUAGUUUGGUUUUUUUUUUGUAUGGCCGUGAGUCGAUUUGACCGAUUUCCCAUACAAAUGAAUUUUGCGGAAAAUAGGAAUUGGACCACGAGCCCAAAACUGGCGGCCAACCCCGCCCAUUUGGUCGGAGGACCUACGAGAGGAAAGGGGAAAACCCAAAGGAAGCAGCUGAAAGGCGGCGGCCGGAGGGUUCCAACCUGACCGAUCAACUGUACCAUAUCUUGCAGACUUCAAGUUAUCGCGCCCUUUUGAACAGGCUUGUAGGCUCCGGCCUCGCUAGCGAUCGGGCGUAACUCGUUGUCGACCCUCCCGAAAGCGGCUCCCCAGGGUGCACGCCGUACGGAGGUUGCCUGCUGUCGUCGAGGGUCCCCUAGGGGUCCCCUGGCGCUGGCGGAUGGGUUCGGUGGGCAACUGGCCUUUCAGGCGAGCGGCAUCACUGAGCAACGGGGGGAAACCCGCCCGAAGCGGACGCCGCAAUGGUUGAUGCUUCGGUCCCGGGUCCCUCUACUGGGGCGCCCGAUGCCACGCUACAGCGCGGCGGAGGGAUGCCCUGGGAACUUGGGCGGGGGGAGCGGAUUGCUGCUCGCAGCGCGUGCCAGGCGACGUAAAAAUCGGCCGGGCGUGCGCAGCGGACGGCGCUGAUCGAACUGCCUCACGGCGGGGAGGUUGGCCUACCUAGUGAACUUGAAAUCGCUCCGGCAGCCGCGAGGCAGCCGGUGGGCGCGAGGGCUCAG